This 581-nucleotide ribosomal RNA is filed under the name uncultured bacterium. Its description in RNAcentral is "bacterial SSU rRNA". It matches the Rfam family "Bacterial small subunit ribosomal RNA", at positions 102 to 679 of the family's 1533-position model. The record is from RNAcentral.
ACGGGUGAGUAAUGUCUGGGAAACUGCCCGAUGGAGGGGGAUAACUACUGGAAACGGUAGCUAAUACCGCAUAACGUCGCAAGACCAAAGUGGGGGACCUUCGGGCCUCACGCCAUCGGAUGUGCCCAGAUGGGAUUAGCUAGUAGGUGGGGUAAUGGCUCACCUAGGCGACGAUCCCUAGCUGGUCUGAGAGGAUGACCAGCCACACUGGAACUGAGACACGGUCCAGACUCCUACGGGAGGCAGCAGUGGGGAAUAUUGCACAAUGGGCGCAAGCCUGAUGCAGCCAUGCCGCGUGUAUGAAGAAGGCCUUCGGGUUGUAAAGUACUUUCAGCGGGGAGGAAGGCGGUGAAGUUAAUAGCUUCACCGAUUGACGUUACCCGCAGAAGAAGCACCGGCUAACUCCGUGCCAGCAGCCGCGGUAAUACGGAGGGUGCAAGCGUUAAUCGGAAUUACUGGGCGUAAAGCGCACGCAGGCGGUCUGUCAAGUCGGAUGUGAAAUCCCCGGGCUUAACCUGGGAACUGCAUUCGAAACUGGCAGGCUGGAGUCUUGUAGAGGGGGGUAGAAUUCCAGGUGUAGC